GAUGAAGAACGUAGCGAAAUGCGAUACGUAAUGUGAAUUGCAGAAUUCCGUGAAUCAUCUAAUUUUUGAACGCACAUUGCACUCUGUUGAAAGGCAGAGUAUGCCUGUUUGAGAAUCUAUAGUAUUUCUUUUACCAUUUUUUUUUUACAAUUUUUGUAAUAAAAAGGUAAAGAUUUGAACUUUCUCUACCAAGAGUGGUUUGAAAUUUAUCGCUGGUAUUAAUUAAGAGUAAUGACUCUAAGCAAUACAACAGACCAGUAUGUGAAUGAAACUUUGGUUUCCCAUAAUGCCCAGUAAGUUGUCGCCUAGAUAGCUUUUGAUUAAUAGUAGUUCAUAACUAUUAAAAGUUUAUUAGUAAUAAUAAACUUUGAACCAUGGUCUCAAAUCAGGUAGGAUUACCCGCUGAACUUAAGCAUAUCAAUAAGCGGAGGA
Molecule: unclassified non-coding RNA, 432 nt
Filed under: soil metagenome
Description: partial contains 5.8S ribosomal RNA, internal transcribed spacer 2, and large subunit ribosomal RNA
Rfam family: 5.8S ribosomal RNA (bases 1-118)
Source: RNAcentral